GGUUAAGCGACUAAGCGUACACGGUGGAUGCCCUGGCAGUCAGAGGCGAUGAAGGACGUGCUAAUCUGCGAUAAGCGUCGGUAAGGUGAUAUGAACCGUUAUAACCGGCGAUUUCCGAAUGGGGAAACCCAGUGUGUUUCGACACACUAUCAUUAACUGAAUCCAUAGGUUAAUGAGGCGAACCGGGGGAACUGAAACAUCUAAGUACCCCGAGGAAAAGAAAUCAACCGAGAUUCCCCCAGUAGCGGCGAGCGAACGGGGAGGAGCCCAGAGCCUGAAUCAGUGUGUGUGUUAGUGGAAGCGUCUGGAAAGGCGCGCGAUACAGGGUGACAGCCCCGUACACAAAAAUGCACAUACUGUGAGCUCGAUGAGUAGGGCGGGACACGUGGUAUCCUGUCUGAAUAUGGGGGGACCAUCCUCCAAGGCUAAAUACUCCUGACUGACCGAUAGUGAACCAGUACCGUGAGGGAAAGGCGAAAAGAACCCCGGCGAGGGGAGUGAAAAAGAACCUGAAACCGUGUACGUACAAGCAGUGGGAGCCUCUUUAUGGGGUGACUGCGUACCUUUUGUAUAAUGGGUCAGCGACUUAUAUUCUGUAGCAAGGUUAACCGAAUAGGGGAGCCGAAGGGAAACCGAGUCUUAACUGGGCGUUAAGUUGCAGGGUAUAGACCCGAAACCCGGUGAUCUAGCCAUGGGCAGGUUGAAGGUUGGGUAACACUAACUGGAGGACCGAACCGACUAAUGUUGAAAAAUUAGCGGAUGACUUGUGGCUGGGGGUGAAAGGCCAAUCAAACCGGGAGAUAGCUGGUUCUCCCCGAAAGCUAUUUAGGUAGCGCCUCGUGAAUUCAUCUCCGGGGGUAGAGCACUGUUUCGGCAAGGGGGUCAUCCCGACUUACCAACCCGAUGCAAACUGCGAAUACCGGAGAAUGUUAUCACGGGAGACACACGGCGGGUGCUAACGUCCGUCGUGAAGAGGGAAACAACCCAGACCGCCAGCUAAGGUCCCAAAGUCAUGGUUAAGUGGGAAACGAUGUGGGAAGGCCCAGACAGCCAGGAUGUUGGCUUAGAAGCAGCCAUCAUUUAAAGAAAGCGUAAUAGCUCACUGGUCGAGUCGGCCUGCGCGGAAGAUGUAACGGGGCUAAACCAUGCACCGAAGCUGCGGCAGCGACGCUUAUGCGUUGUUGGGUAGGGGAGCGUUCUGUAAGCCUGUGAAGGUGUACUGUGAGGUAUGCUGGAGGUAUCAGAAGUGCGAAUGCUGACAUAAGUAACGAUAAAGCGGGUGAAAAGCCCGCUCGCCGGAAGACCAAGGGUUCCUGUCCAACGUUAAUCGGGGCAGGGUGAGUCGACCCCUAAGGCGAGGCCGAAAGGCGUAGUCGAUGGGAAACAGGUUAAUAUUCCUGUACUUGGUGUUACUGCGAAGGGGGGACGGAGAAGGCUAUGUUGGCCGGGCGACGGUUGUCCCGGUUUAAGCGUGUAGGCUGGUUUUCCAGGCAAAUCCGGAAAAUCAAGGCUGAGGCGUGAUGACGAGGCACUACGGUGCUGAAGCAACAAAUGCCCUGCUUCCAGGAAAAGCCUCUAAGCAUCAGGUAACAUCAAAUCGUACCCCAAACCGACACAGGUGGUCAGGUAGAGAAUACCAAGGCGCUUGAGAGAACUCGGGUGAAGGAACUAGGCAAAAUGGUGCCGUAACUUCGGGAGAAGGCACGCUGAUAUGUAGGUGAAGCGACUUGCUCGUGGAGCUGAAAUCAGUCGAAGAUACCAGCUGGCUGCAACUGUUUAUUAAAAACACAGCACUGUGCAAACACGAAAGUGGACGUAUACGGUGUGACGCCUGCCCGGUGCCGGAAGGUUAAUUGAUGGGGUUAGCGGUAACGCGAAGCUCUUGAUCGAAGCCCCGGUAAACGGCGGCCGUAACUAUAACGGUCCUAAGGUAGCGAAAUUCCUUGUCGGGUAAGUUCCGACCUGCACGAAUGGCGUAAUGAUGGCCAGGCUGUCUCCACCCGAGACUCAGUGAAAUUGAACUCGCUGUGAAGAUGCAGUGUACCCGCGGCAAGACGGAAAGACCCCGUGAACCUUUACUAUAGCUUGACACUGAACAUUGAGCCUUGAUGUGUAGGAUAGGUGGGAGGCUUUGAAGUGUGGACGCCAGUCUGCAUGGAGCCGACCUUGAAAUACCACCCUUUAAUGUUUGAUGUUCUAACGUUGGCCCCUGAUCGGGGUUGCGGACAGUGUCUGGUGGGUAGUUUGACUGGGGCGGUCUCCUCCUAAAGAGUAACGGAGGAGCACGAAGGUUGGCUAAUCCUGGUCGGACAUCAGGAGGUUAGUGCAAUGGCAUAAGCCAGCUUGACUGCGAGCGUGACGGCGCGAGCAGGUGCGAAAGCAGGUCAUAGUGAUCCGGUGGUUCUGAAUGGAAGGGCCAUCGCUCAACGGAUAAAAGGUACUCCGGGGAUAACAGGCUGAUACCGCCCAAGAGUUCAUAUCGACGGCGGUGUUUGGCACCUCGAUGUCGGCUCAUCACAUCCUGGGGCUGAAGUAGGUCCCAAGGGUAUGGCUGUUCGCCAUUUAAAGUGGUACGCGAGCUGGGUUUAGAACGUCGUGAGACAGUUCGGUCCCUAUCUGCCGUGGGCGCUGGAGAACUGAGGGGGGCUGCUCCUAGUACGAGAGGACCGGAGUGGACGCAUCACUGGUGUUCGGGUUGUCAUGCCAAUGGCACUGCCCGGUAGCUAAAUGCGGAAGAGAUAAGUGCUGAAAGCAUCUAAGCACGAAACUUGCCCCGAGAUGAGUUCUCCCUGAGACUUUAAGUCUCCUGAAGGAACGUUGAAGACGACGACGUUGAUAGGCCGGGUGUGUAAGCGCAGCGAUGCGUUGAGCUAACCGGUACUAAUGAACCGUGAGGCUUAACCUU
RNAcentral lists this ribosomal RNA (2905 nucleotides) under Escherichia coli. RNAcentral describes it as "23S ribosomal RNA". It matches the Rfam family "Bacterial large subunit ribosomal RNA". The record is from RNAcentral. Lineage: Bacteria; Pseudomonadati; Pseudomonadota; Gammaproteobacteria; Enterobacterales; Enterobacteriaceae.